RNAcentral lists this ribosomal RNA (305 nucleotides) under uncultured bacterium. RNAcentral describes it as "bacterial SSU rRNA". It matches the Rfam family "Bacterial small subunit ribosomal RNA", at positions 337 to 640 of the family's 1533-position model. The record is from RNAcentral.
UCCUACGGGGGGCAGCAGUGAGGAAUAUUGGUCAAUGGGCGGGAGCCUGAACCAGCCAAGCCGCGUGAGGGAAGAAGGUACAGCGUAUCGUAAACCUCUUUUGUCAGGGAACAAAGGCGGGGACUAGUCCCCGGAUGAGGGUACCUGAAGAAAAAGCAUCGGCUAACUCCGUGCCAGCAGCCGCGGUAAUACGGAGGAUGCGAGCGUUAUCCGGAUUUAUUGGGGUUAAAGGGAGCGCAGGCGGCCUGUUAAGUCAGCGGUAAAAGCCCGGGGCUCAACCCCGUCGCGCCGUUGGAACGGGCGGG